This 414-nucleotide long non-coding RNA is filed under the name Zonotrichia albicollis (white-throated sparrow). RNAcentral's name for it is "lncRNA (ENSZALG00000011143.1)". Lineage: Eukaryota; Metazoa; Chordata; Aves; Passeriformes; Passerellidae. The record is from RNAcentral.
GCAAGGAGCUAGAAAAGCAGGUGUAAUGACUACUCUUCUGAGAUGAGUUCUUAAUUAAUGCACAGAGAUCCUGGAAGUCCCACCUCUCAACAGUCAUGAUUGACAUCCAAGGAUACAAAAAUUGCACUAAUUGAGCUUUCCAUUUAUACACUUCUCUGCAGCCAGCUCGUCAGAAAAGGAGGGCACCAACUGGAGAGUCCGAAGGCUCCUUUCAGCUCUAGGCUCCUCUCAGCAGUCCAUCACACUACACGAGACACUGCAGAAACACAAGGCAGUCAGAUUCUUGGCUCAUUAGAGAUCCACUCCCAUGGAAAGCUGAAGCAUCUAAGCCAGUCUGACCAAGAACAAGACUUCUCUGACCAUCUAAGCCAGUCUGACCAAGAGCAAGAGUACUCCCAUAGCCAUUGCUGUUAA